GGUAAGGUGACUGAGAAAUAAGUGGCGGAUUGUAAUCCCGUGAACGGAGGUUAAAAUCCUCCCCCUACCA
This 70-nucleotide transfer RNA is filed under the name Etmopterus spinax (velvet belly lantern shark). RNAcentral describes it as "tRNA-Tyr". It matches the Rfam family "tRNA". Rfam says of the family: Transfer RNA (tRNA) molecules are approximately 80 nucleotides in length. The record is from RNAcentral. Lineage: Eukaryota; Metazoa; Chordata; Chondrichthyes; Squaliformes; Etmopteridae.